GAUGAACGCUGGCGGCGUGCCUAAUACAUGCAAGUCGAGCGAACGGACGAGAAGCUUGCUUCUCUGAUGUUAGCGGCGGACGGGUGAGUAACACGUGGAUAACCUACCUAUAAGACUGGGAUAACUUCGGGAAACCGGAGCUAAUACCGGAUAAUAUUUUGAACCGCAUGGUUCAAAAGUGAAAGACGGUCUUGCUGUCACUUAUAGAUGGAUCCGCGCUGCAUUAGCUAGUUGGUAAGGUAACGGCUUACCAAGGCAACGAUGCAUAGCCGACCUGAGAGGGUGAUCGGCCACACUGGAACUGAGACACGGUCCAGACUCCUACGGGAGGCAGCAGUAGGGAAUCUUCCGCAAUGGGCGAAAGCCUGACGGAGCAACGCCGCGUGAGUGAUGAAGGUCUUCGGAUCGUAAAACUCUGUUAUUAGGGAAGAACAUAUGUGUAAGUAACUGUGCACAUCUUGACGGUACCUAAUCAGAAAGCCACGGCUAACUACGUGCCAGCAGCCGCGGUAAUACGUAGGUGGCAAGCGUUAUCCGGAAUUAUUGGGCGUAAAGCGCGCGUAGGCGGUUUUUUAAGUCUGAUGUGAAAGCCCACGGCUCAACCGUGGAGGGUCAUUGGAAACUGGAAAACUUGAGUGCAGAAGAGGAAAGUGGAAUUCCAUGUGUAGCGGUGAAAUGCGCAGAGAUAUGGAGGAACACCAGUGGCGAAGGCGACUUUCUGGUCUGUAACUGACGCUGAUGUGCGAAAGCGUGGGGAUCAAACAGGAUUAGAUACCCUGGUAGUCCACGCCGUAAACGAUGAGUGCUAAGUGUUAGGGGGUUUCCGCCCCUUAGUGCUGCAGCUAACGCAUUAAGCACUCCGCCUGGGGAGUACGACCGCAAGGUUGAAACUCAAAGGAAUUGACGGGGACCCGCACAAGCGGUGGAGCAUGUGGUUUAAUUCGAAGCAACGCGAGGAACCUUACCAAAUCUUGACAUCCUUUGACAACUCUAGAGAUAGAGCUUUCCCCUUCGGGGGACAAAGUGACAGGUGGUGCAUGGUUGUCGUCAGCUCGUGUCGUGAGAUGUUGGGUUAAGUCCCGCAACGAGCGCAACCCUUAAGCUUAGUUGCCAUCAUUAAGUUGGGCACUCUAAGUUGACUGCCGGUGACAAACCGGAGGAAGGUGGGGAUGACGUCAAAUCAUCAUGCCCCUUAUGAUUUGGGCUACACACGUGCUACAAUGGACAAUACAAAGGGCAGCGAAACCGUGAGGUCAAGCAAAUCCCAUAAAGUUGUUCUCAGUUCGGAUUGUAGUCUGCAACUCGACUACAUGAAGCUGGAAUCGCUAGUAAUCGUAGAUCAGCAUGCUACGGUGAAUACGUUCCCGGGUCU
Molecule: ribosomal RNA, 1372 nt
Filed under: uncultured bacterium
Lineage: Bacteria
Description: bacterial SSU rRNA
Rfam family: Bacterial small subunit ribosomal RNA
Source: RNAcentral